This 215-nucleotide ribosomal RNA is filed under the name uncultured bacterium. Its description in RNAcentral is "partial 16S ribosomal RNA". It matches the Rfam family "Bacterial small subunit ribosomal RNA", at positions 119 to 334 of the family's 1533-position model. The record is from RNAcentral.
GGGUAACCUGCCUCAUACAGGGGGAUAGCAGCUGGAAACGGCUGAUAAAACCGCAUAAGCGCACAGCAUCGCAUGAUGCAGUGUGAAAAACUCCGGUGGUAUGAGAUGGACCCGCGUCUGAUUAGCUGGUUGGUGAGGUAACGGCCCACCAAGGCGACGAUCAGUAGCCGGCCUGAGAGGGUGACCGGCCACAUUGGGACUGAGACACGGCCCAA